AGAAUGAACGCUGGCGGCAUGCCUAACACAUGCAAGUCGAACGAAGGCUUCGGCCUUAGUGGCGCACGGGUGCGUAACGCGUGGGAAUCUACCCCUUGGUUCGGAAUAACAGUUGGAAACGACUGCUAAUACCGGAUGAUGACGUAAGUCCAAAGAUUUAUCGCCGAGGGAUGAGCCCGCGUAGGAUUAGCUAGUUGGUGUGGUAAAAGCGCACCAAGGCGACGAUCCUUAGCUGGUCUGAGAGGAUGAUCAGCCACACUGGGACUGAGACACGGCCCAGACUCCUACGGGAGGCAGCAGUGGGGAAUAUUGGACAAUGGGCGAAAGCCUGAUCCAGCAAUGCCGCGUGAGUGAUGAAGGCCUUAGGGUUGUAAAGCUCUUUUACCCGGGAUGAUAAUGACAGUACCGGGAGAAUAGCUCCGGCUAACUCCGCGCCAGCAGCCGC
Molecule: ribosomal RNA, 445 nt
Filed under: uncultured bacterium
Lineage: Bacteria
Description: SSU rRNA
Rfam family: Bacterial small subunit ribosomal RNA
Source: RNAcentral